This is a long non-coding RNA of Esox lucius (northern pike), 2274 nucleotides long. Lineage: Eukaryota; Metazoa; Chordata; Actinopteri; Esociformes; Esocidae. The record is from Ensembl.
GCCGGGAUAAAAAUAUGGCGGUUUUAAGAAGGCCCUGUACACAUUUGAAAACCACCCAAAUGACUAUGGGCUUUUUGUGAUUUCCUCUAAUUCAAAAAGAGAACUGUAGAUGUCAGUGUUGUCGUGGUGAUGUUAUGCCACAGGACAAUGUGCACCCAAUGAGAGAGUCACAAUGGGUCAACCACACUCAACUCAACACCUGUCGCAGAAAAUCCUUUAGAACAUUUACAUUUAAAAUACAGAGAUUACACAUUUCAUCCAGUUUCAUAAAUUGAAAAUGUUAAAACCAAUGAAGGAAAACCUUGAUGGUCUUCAAAUAGAGAUAUAUUAAACUUUAAUGAUUUCCUGAAUGAUCCACUACUAUCUGCCUGACAUACAGGCCAUCCUUCAUGGUUGUGACGCAAAAAUAUAUACAAAAAUGUACGGCUCACCGAAUGUCAAAGGUCAAACCAGACAUUCUUAAUCAUGAUCAGACAGGUUUUGUAAAAAGGAAAAUACACUGAGCAUAAUUAUGAUCACUGUACCAUGUUAGAAAUAUGUUUGUUUUUUAUUUGCCGUCUGAUCAAAUGGGUGGGUGGCAAAGUUGAUGUCCUCGGUGUGUUGGUGAGUCCUCGGUGUGUUGGUGAGUCCUCGGUGUGUUGGUGAAUCCUCGGUGUGUUGGAUGAAUCCUCGGUGUGUUGGUGAAUCCUCUGUGUGUUGGUGAAUCCUCUGUGUGUUGGUGAGUCCUCGGUGUGUUGGUGAGUCCUCGGUGUGUUGGUGAGUCCUCGGUGUGUUGGUGAAUCCUCGGUGUGUUGGUGAAUCCUCGGUGUGUUGGUGAAUCCUCUGUGUGUUGGUGAGUCCUCGGUGUGUUGGUGAGUCCUCGGUGUGUUGGUGAGUCCUCGGUGUGUUGGUGAAUCCUCUGUGUGUUGGUGAGUCCUCGGUGUGUUGGUGAAUCCUCGGUGUGUUGGUGAGUCCUCGGUGUGUUGGUGAGUCCUCGGUGUGUUGGUGAAUCCUCUGUGUGUUGGUGAGUCCUCGGUGUGUUGGUGAAUCCUCGGUGUGUUGGUGAGUCUCUGAAAACCAACAUCAGACCAGUGAACAACGGGUGGCCAGAGAGGAAGGGAAAGACUGGAGGAUAACCUCCACUUUGGGGGAGACGGUUUUGGCAAGAGGAACAUAAAAGCGGGACGUGAGAUGAUGACAGACGUGUUGUGUGAUGUCCUGUGACUUGAGCCGUCUACACCCUAAGAAAUAAAACACAAGCACUUGUGUUCACUUGUCGCUGGAACGUUAGAAAUGUCACCACACCCUUCGCCAGCCCGUUGUGUCCGUCAAGCGUUUCCAGAAGACAUCAGGAAUGUGCGUGGUUUCAGACAAGGAUCAGUGACAGGUUACUAGAGAAAUAGGAACUGUGGAUUAGAAAACAUCCUCUCGCACAGAGAUCACAUAACCUCAUUCAGCCACCGAGGGCAGAAGAUCAUCCAGUCAAUCUAGCCACUGUCGACUUCUUUUGACUAGCUGACCAAAGUAUUGACUUUGACAGCUGAAGUUGUGGGGCUACCUCGUAAGGAAGAUAAACAGGAAUACAAAGCCACUGAGAGAGGAAGGUGUAGGUAACAAAAGUCAUGGCUCCAGCAGGGGUGUUGGGGGUGACAGGUUGGUCUUUAUGGUCCUCUUCGUCCCCUGAGGUGUGUUUCGUCUCUAUCCUCAUCUUCCUCAUUCUCACCAUCACGGUCGUCACCAUCUGUAUCAAGUGCCGCAGAAAACAAGAUGUCCAGAUUGAGGUUAUAAACCAAGGACAGACUUUACCCAAGACAGAAGCCUUUCCUGCAAAUAAGUCCUUCAGCAAUGAUGACCAACCCCAAGGUACCCAGUUACCUGACUUACCUUCAUGGAGGCACCACAAGAACAUGCCAGAGAACAAGCUCCCUCAGGCCCUCCCCCGCAACCAGGCCUCACCGUAAUAGAGAUAAACCAGCCAGCCAGGUGUCCCCAAAUAGAGAUAAACCAACCUGCCGGGUGUCCCCCAAUAGAAAUAAACCAGCCAGACAGGUCCCCCCCAACAGAAAUAAACCAGCCAGCCAGGUGUCCCCAAAUAGAAAUAAACCAGCCAGCUGGGUGUCCCCAUCAGAGGUAAACCAGCCAGCCAGGUGUCCCCAGCAGAGAUAAAACAGCCAGCCUAGUGUCCCCAAUAGAGAUAAACCAGCCAGCCAGGUUCCCCCAAAAGAGAAAAAACAGCCAGCCUGGUGUACCCAUUAGAGAUAAGCAAGCUUGACUGGUGUACCCAGAAGAGAUAAA